RNAcentral lists this ribosomal RNA (492 nucleotides) under uncultured bacterium. Its description in RNAcentral is "partial 16S ribosomal RNA". It matches the Rfam family "Bacterial small subunit ribosomal RNA", at positions 29 to 507 of the family's 1533-position model. The record is from RNAcentral.
AGUGAACGCUGGCGGUAGGCCUAACACAUGCAAGUCGAACGGCAGCACAGUAAGAGCUUGCUCUUACGGGUGGCGAGUGGCGGACGGGUGAGGUAUACAUCGGAAUCUACUUUUUCGUGGGGGAUAACGUAGGGAAACUUACGCUAAUACCGCAUACGACCUACGGGUGAAAGCAGGGGAUCUUCGGACCUUGCGCGAUUGAAUGAGCCGAUGUCGGAUUAGCUAGUUGGCGGGGUAAAGGCCCACCAAGGCGACGAUCCGUAGCUGGUCUGAGAGGAUGAUCAGCCACACUGGAACUGAGACACGGUCCAGACUCCUACGGGAGGCAGCAGUGGGGAAUAUUGGACAAUGGGCGCAAGCCUGAUCCAGCCAUACCGCGUGGGUGAAGAAGGCCUUCGGGUUGUAAAGCCCUUUUGUUGGGAAAGAAAAGCAGCAGGUUAAUAUCCCGCUGUUCUGACGGUACCCAAAGAAUAAGCACCGGCUAACUUCGUG